CCGCUUCAUAUGCCUCUCUUGCCAAUUCAGAUGUGGAUUUCCUUGGCGCUUGUGCUGGGCCUUGUGCCAAAGGAGGUUCGUCGUCAUCCUAACUAGACGGAUUUUCCUCUGGUACCUGUAUCGCUCCUUCCCUGUGGUCAUCAUUUAGCAUUAUCCUUUUCACCACAGCUUCUAUUUCUUUUUCUAUUUCUUUUUGUGCUACAGGCACACCCGAAUGUC
This 219-nucleotide long non-coding RNA is filed under the name Mytilus galloprovincialis (Mediterranean mussel). The record is from RNAcentral. Lineage: Eukaryota; Metazoa; Mollusca; Bivalvia; Mytilida; Mytilidae.